UACGAAAAAUCAGCAGCUUCAAUAUAGACUAUAUUAGUCUAUUGAUGAUAAUAUACACUAUAGAUAGUAUCGGGGUACGUUUUUGAUUGGAAUAAUAAAAAAAUAGUUGAUAGUUAUCCGUGUUUGCAUUUUUAAGUCUCGUCUAUUAACUAUUGAUUGGUGUUAAAAUUACUUCGCAAAGUGAUGCAAAAAGUACGUUCUUAAUUAAUAUUGAAAAUAUUUACCGCAUA
Molecule: non-coding RNA, 230 nt
Organism: Cinara cedri
Lineage: Eukaryota; Metazoa; Arthropoda; Insecta; Hemiptera; Aphididae
Source: the annotation of a GenBank genome assembly